This 79-nucleotide transfer RNA is filed under the name Candidatus Aceula lacicola. Its description in RNAcentral is "tRNA-Pro". It matches the Rfam family "tRNA". Rfam says of the family: Transfer RNA (tRNA) molecules are approximately 80 nucleotides in length. Their secondary structure includes four short double-helical elements and three loops (D, anti-codon, and T loops). Further hydrogen bonds mediate the characteristic L-shaped molecular structure. tRNAs have two regions of fundamental functional importance: the anti-codon, which is responsible for specific mRNA codon recognition, and the 3' end, to which the tRNAs corresponding amino acid is attached (by aminoacyl-tRNA synthetases). tRNAs cope with the degeneracy of the genetic code in two manners: having more than one tRNA (with a specific anti-codon) for a particular amino acid; and 'wobble' base-pairing, i.e. permitting non-standard base-pairing at the 3rd anti-codon position. Lineage: Bacteria; Pseudomonadati; Candidatus Omnitrophota. The record is from RNAcentral.
CGGAGCGUAGCGCAGUCUGGAUGAGCGCACUUGAAUGGGGUUCAAGAGGUCGUGAGUUCGAGUCUCACCGCUCCGACCA